CCGACGGUGAGGGGUGAAAGCUGGGGGAGCAAACCGGAUUAGAUACCCGGGUAGUCCCAGCCGUAAACGAUGUGCGUUAGGUGUAUCGGUGACCACGAGUCACCGAGGUGCCGAAGAGAAAUCGUGAAACGUACCGCCUGGGAAGUACGGUCGCAAGGCUGAGACUUAAAGGAAUUGGCGGGGGAGCACCACAACAGGUGGAGCCUGCGGUUUAAUCGGACUCAACGCCGGGAAACUCACCAGAUAAGACAGCUGAAUGAUAGUCGGGCUGAAGACUCUACUUGACUAGCUGAGAGGAGGUGCAUGGCCGUCGUCAGUUCGUACUGUGAAGCAUCCUGUUAAGUC
This 345-nucleotide ribosomal RNA is filed under the name uncultured archaeon. RNAcentral describes it as "bacterial SSU rRNA". It matches the Rfam family "Archaeal small subunit ribosomal RNA", at positions 691 to 1035 of the family's 1478-position model. The record is from RNAcentral.